Long non-coding RNA from Cygnus olor (mute swan), 1228 nucleotides. RefSeq lists it as uncharacterized. Lineage: Eukaryota; Metazoa; Chordata; Aves; Anseriformes; Anatidae. The transcript has 4 exons. The record is from RefSeq and is a predicted model, not a curated record.
ACAGGACAGAAAUAGUUACCACAGCAGAGCAGAAAGUGCAGACACAUCGCCGGCCUUCUUCUAGGUGCUGUUUCCAGUCUGGGAUAGUGCUUUCAUUAUCGCAGCCUUCUGCAUGUUUGCAGAGACACAGCACUGUGUUAAGUGACAGUGGUGUACGCCUUCCUUCUGGUCUUUUCAUCUUCAUUCCUCAUGUGGACAUGGUCACAGGGGAGGUGCAAAAGAUACAAUAAUAACAUCAGCCCUCACUCAGAAGAUCAGUGAUGGUCCUGAAUUAUGAAGGAAUAGAGCAGAAGAAGCCUUAGAAAUUUCAGACCAAAGAAGUGGAAACAACAAGUGCAAUGAGUGCUAACACUGAUUUGGAUGAAUGUUUGCAGAAAGAACAGUUUGAAAUGACAGUGCUUCCAACGGAGCGGUUUUGAUUCUGAAGCAGCAGAAACCCCUGAGGAUGCGAUGACGUGAUGUCCUCUCCAGGUCUCAGAGCAGCUGCCCAGGUCUUGGUGCUCACCCUCUGCUUUCACAGGUCAGUUACACCCUUGGGUUGGUACCAGGAUGGUGGAUGAUGCUUGUCUCCAGACACCAAACAACAUAUUCACAGUGGUGCCAGCAUGACCACCCAUGCAGCAAGCCCCUUACUCUUCAUUUCCCCUGUGGGCUUGCAAAGCAUCACCCAAGCCAAGCAAUGUCACUUCUGCAGUGGCAGCAUCCAUAAUUCUCACUCCAGAGCCACAAAGAAGCUCCCUGCCUUUGCCAAAGGGCUUCAGAGUGUACACGUGGGAUAUCAACGUGUUUGUGUUAAAGGGAGAGUGUUGUCUUUUUUCCAGCUUAUUGAAAAGGGGUAUUUGGGGGCCAUUCUGCUGCUGUGUCAAUGAUGGGAGAGUUCACCUGUUCUUUCCAAAAGAGAAAAAGAAAAACAAACACAAAACCAAACCAUGCCUGUCAUGUCUUUGUCACUGGGGUCCUUUAGUUAAUGUAACAAGACUUGCUUUUAAGGUCAGGCACAAACAUGUUUAUUAGGUAGGCCUGAAAUGUGAUCAACCAUUCAAAGUAUACUAAACUCCCGCUGACUCCUACACUCAGCUGUUGCAGACGGGCUGGGUCCUAAACUGCUCUAAACCAGCUUAAUUCCAUAGGCUUUACUCAGCUCAGGCACUGGCUCCAGAUCUGACCCACAGAGAUGAUUUUUCCACAGCAUCACUGCUACUGAGAAAAACAAAGGUAGUAAGGAGAA